This 468-nucleotide ribosomal RNA is filed under the name uncultured bacterium. RNAcentral describes it as "partial 16S ribosomal RNA". It matches the Rfam family "Bacterial small subunit ribosomal RNA", at positions 28 to 507 of the family's 1533-position model. The record is from RNAcentral.
GACGAACGCUGGCGGCGGGCUUAACACAUGCAAGUCGAACGGAAAGGCCCUGCUUUUGUGGGGGGCUCGAGUGGCGAAAGGGUGAGUAACACGUGAGUAACCUGCCCUUGACUUUGGGAUAACUUCAGGAAACUGGGGCUAAUACCGGAUAGGAGCUCCUGCUGCAUGGUGGGGGUUGGAAAGUUUCGGCGGUUGGGGAUGGACUCGCGGCUUAUCAGCUUGUUGGUGGGGUAGUGGCUUACCAAGGCUUUGACGGGUAGCCGGCCUGAGAGGGUGACCGGCCACAUUGGGACUGAGAUACGGCCCAGACUCCUACGGGAGGCAGCAGUGGGGAAUAUUGCACAAUGGGCGGAAGCCUGAUGCAGCAACGCCGCGUGCGGGAUGACGGCCUUCGGGUUGUAAACCGCUUUCGCCUGUGACGAAGCGUGAGUGACGGUAAUGGGUAAAGAAGCACCGGCUAACUACGUG